Molecule: ribosomal RNA, 522 nt
Filed under: uncultured bacterium
Lineage: Bacteria
Description: bacterial SSU rRNA
Rfam family: Bacterial small subunit ribosomal RNA
Source: RNAcentral
GAGUUUGAUCAUGGCUCAGGACGAACGCUGGCGGCGUGCCUAAUACAUGCAAGUCGAGCGGGCUUUUGAGCUUGGAAGCCUUCGGGCGGACGAGCUUAAAAGCUAGCGGCGGACGGGUGAGUAACGCGUAAGCAACCUGCCCUCCAGUGGGGGAUAACUCGCCGAAAGGCGGGCUAAUACCGCAUGAGCUCUCUCUGGGGCAUCCUGGGGAGAGGAAAGGCCCUUCGGGGUCGCUGGAGGAGGGGCUUGCGUCCCAUUAGCUAGUUGGUGGGGUAACGGCCCACCAAGGCGACGAUGGGUAGCCGGCCUGAGAGGGUGACCGGCCACACUGGGACUGAGACACGGCCCAGACUCCUACGGGAGGCAGCAGUAGGGGAUCUUGCGCAAUGGGCGAAAGCCUGACGCAGCGACGCCGCGUGGGGGAAGAAGGCCUUCGGGUCGUAAACCCCUGUCCCAGGGGACGAGGCAGGACGGUACCCUGGGAGGAAGCCCCGGCUAACUACGUGCCAGCAGCCGCGGUAA